UACGGAGGGUGCAAGCGUUAUCCGGAUUCACUGGGUUUAAAGGGUGCGUAGGCGGGCAGGUAAGUCCGUGGUGAAAUCUCUGAGCUUAACUCAGAAACUGCCAUGGAUACUAUUUGUCUUGAAUGUUGUGGAGGUAAGCGGAAUAUGUCAUGUAGCGGUGAAAUGCUUAGAUAUGACAUAGAUCACCAAUUGCGAAGGCAGCUUACUACACAAAUAUUGACGCUGAGGCACGAAAGCGUGGGGAUCAAACAGG
RNAcentral lists this ribosomal RNA (253 nucleotides) under uncultured bacterium. RNAcentral describes it as "partial 16S ribosomal RNA". It matches the Rfam family "Bacterial small subunit ribosomal RNA", at positions 524 to 776 of the family's 1533-position model. The record is from RNAcentral.